UUCCCUGUGGAUACGAUAAAACCUUUAACCGGGUAAAAGCUACAACGGUAUCCGUGCGCUUGCGGAUUUAUGCGUAUAAAUACCAUAGUACACUCUAGUGCCAUGCUGGGGAUGACAACCUAGUUUUCAAGUGGUGUUAGCAAGUGUCAACAAGCAUUUUUGGCGCCAUUGCUGGGGAAACGGUUGCUGAGUUGACUACGAACUAGCUUAAUCAUUUUCUAAAAAAUAAAAAAAUA
This 236-nucleotide long non-coding RNA is filed under the name Sorghum bicolor (sorghum). RNAcentral describes it as "long non-coding RNA (SBIC_LNC010019)". The record is from RNAcentral. Lineage: Eukaryota; Viridiplantae; Streptophyta; Magnoliopsida; Poales; Poaceae.